CCUUUGUCGAUAUGCUGCCAUUCGAACUUGAGCUUGCUGUCGGACUUCUGGAAGUAAAUCUAGAUCGACUCUCCGACAUUCGAAAUUGCUCGGCUCACUAUGUUGCUCAAUCCUUCUUGAAGGUAAUCCGAUCUCAAGUGGGAUCAUUGCUUCUAUUUCAUAGGCUAAAUUGAAUGGCGAUUCUCCUGUUAGUAUACGAGGAGUCGUUCGGUAUGCCCAU
This 220-nucleotide long non-coding RNA is filed under the name Elaeis guineensis (African oil palm). RNAcentral's name for it is "long non-coding RNA (EGUI_LNC028700)". The record is from RNAcentral. Lineage: Eukaryota; Viridiplantae; Streptophyta; Magnoliopsida; Arecales; Arecaceae.